RNAcentral lists this ribosomal RNA (588 nucleotides) under uncultured rumen bacterium. RNAcentral's name for it is "bacterial SSU rRNA". It matches the Rfam family "Bacterial small subunit ribosomal RNA", at positions 58 to 645 of the family's 1533-position model. The record is from RNAcentral.
CAAGUCGAACGAGAAUCACCGGAAGGAGUUUUCGGACAACGGAAGGUGAGGACAGUGGCGGACGGGUGAGUAACGCGUGAGGAACCUGCCUUUCAGAGGGGGACAACAGUUGGAAACGACUGCUAAUACCGCAUAACGCAUAGGUAUCGCAUGGUACUUAUGCCAAAGAUUUAUCGCUGAAAGAUGGCCUCGCGUCUGAUUAGCUGGUUGGUGAGGUAACGGCCCACCAAGGCGACGAUCAGUAGCCGGACUGAGAGGUUGACCGGCCACAUUGGGACUGAGAUACGGCCCAGACUCCUACGGGAGGCAGCAGUGGGGAAUAUUGGGCAAUGGGCGCAAGCCUGACCCAGCAACGCCGCGUGAAGGAAGAAGGCUUUCGGGUUGUAAACUUCUUUUGGCAGGGAAGAGGAGAAGACGGUACCUGCCGAAUAAGCCACGGCUAACUACGUGCCAGCAGCCGCGGUAAUACGUAAGUGGCAAGCGUUGUCCGGAUUUACUGGGUGUAAAGGGCGUGUGGCCGAGUUGGUAAGUCACAUGUGAAAUGCACGGGCUUAACUCGUGAACUGCAUUUGAAACUGCUGAUCUUGA